GAUGAGCGCUGGCGGCGUGCCUAAUACAUGCAAGUCGAGCGAAUGGAUUAAGAGCUUGCUCUUAUGAAGUUAGCGGCGGACGGGUGAGUAACACGUGGGUAACCUGCCCAUAAGACUGGGAUAACUCCGGGAAACCGGGGCUAAUACCGGAUAACAUUUUGAACCGCAUGGUUCGAAAUUGAAAGGCGGCUUCGGCUGCCACUUAUGGAUGGACCCGCGUCGCAUUAGCUAGUUGGUGAGGUAACGGCUCACCAAGGCAACGAUGCGUAGCCGACCUGAGAGGGUGAUCGGCCACACUGGGACUGAGACACGGCCCAGACUCCUACGGGAGGCAGCAGUAGGGAAUCUUCCGCAAUGGACGAAAGUCUGACGGAGCAACGCCGCGUGAGUGAUGAAGGCUUUCGGGUCGUAAAACUCUGUUGUUAGGGAAGAACAAGUGCUAGUUGAAUAAGCUGGCACCUUGACGGUACCUGACCAGAAAGCCACGGCUAACUACGUGCCAGCCGCCGCGGUAA
This 515-nucleotide ribosomal RNA is filed under the name uncultured bacterium. RNAcentral describes it as "partial 16S ribosomal RNA". It matches the Rfam family "Bacterial small subunit ribosomal RNA", at positions 28 to 523 of the family's 1533-position model. The record is from RNAcentral.